RNAcentral lists this ribosomal RNA (497 nucleotides) under uncultured bacterium. RNAcentral describes it as "partial 16S ribosomal RNA". It matches the Rfam family "Bacterial small subunit ribosomal RNA", at positions 28 to 507 of the family's 1533-position model. The record is from RNAcentral.
GAUGAACGCUGGCGGCGUGCCUAAUACAUGCAAGUCGAGCGAACAGACGAGGAGCUUGCUCCUCUGACGUUAGCGGCGGACGGGUGAGUAACACGUGGAUAACCUACCUAUAAGACUGGGAUAACUUCGGGAAACCGGAGCUAAUACCGGAUAAUAUAUUGAACCGCAUGGUUCAAUAGUGAAAGACGGUUUUGCUGUCACUUAUAGAUGGAUCCGCGCCGCAUUAGCUAGUUGGUAAGGUAACGGCUUACCAAGGCAACGAUGCGUAGCCGACCUGAGAGGGUGAUCGGCCACACUGGAACUGAGACACGGUCCAGACUCCGACGGGAGGCAGCAGUAGGGAAUCUUGCGCAAUGGGCGAGAGCCUGACGGAGCAACGCCGCGUGAGUGAUGAAGGUUUUCGGAUCGUAAAACUCUGUUAUUAGGGAAGAACAAAUGUGUAAGUAACUAUGCACGUCUUGACGGUACCUAAUCAGAAAGCCACGGCUAACUACGUG